This 17482-nucleotide long non-coding RNA is filed under the name Medicago truncatula (barrel medic). Its description in RNAcentral is "long non-coding RNA (MTRU_LNC001624)". The record is from RNAcentral. Lineage: Eukaryota; Viridiplantae; Streptophyta; Magnoliopsida; Fabales; Fabaceae.
ACUCAAAUUAGGAUCAAAAGUUGACCACGGUAUUCCAGUGGUGCAAUGUAUUACUGCAUCAUAUUUUUUACCAGAUGGACUCUUCAGUGAUGUUCCCUCCGGAGUUUUGUAGUCAAGAACCUCGUCAGCGCCUAAGCUCUUAACGAAGUCAAUGUUGCGAGCACCACAAGUGGCUGUCACGUGGUUGUUCCCUAGUUUGGCAAGUUGAACAGCAAAUGAACCUACACCACCUGAAGCAGCAGUUACCAAAACAUUCUUCUGCUCGCCAGUCCCAUCAAGCUUAAUUCCUCCGAUUUCUGUGAGGGCAUCACGAGCUGUUAAACCGGCAAUAGGUAAACCCGCAGCUUCAGCAGCUGAGACUUCAGGUGGUCUGGUAGCUGUUAAGCUCUCACUAGCCACGGCAAACUCAGCUAGUCCACCUCCAUACUGUCAUUAACAUGACACAAAAUUGGAUAUCAAAUAUAACCAUUGUAUUUAAUAUAUUGUAUAUGAAAUAAAAAGAAAGUUGGAUUGGAGAUAGGAUCAGUCCUAGAGUUGUGGAUUGAGAAACCUUUCAAUGUUACUGGUGCACAUGUACCACAAGUUGGGGAAGAGCAUAUAAUCAAAAUUGUAACACAGCGAUAUAUAUAAUUUCACAGUAUAAAUCAUGCGGCAUCUUCAUGCAUCACACUUAGAUUUCAGAAUUCAGAUAAACAAAUUAAUAAUACAUCUUUAUUAAAAAGAAGGUUAUUUGAUGUCUAAGCUCGAAAUCUGAACUUUCACAACCAUGAGGGGCAAUAAAGAAAUAUUAGUAUGUAAUCAAUAGAAGGUAAGGUUAGAGGCAGAGGAAGGUUGAUAUCUUGUGAUCAAUCAUGUGGUCUAGCCGGACAAACGACAUCUCCAAACAAGGAGGUAAGGCUAAUCAAAUCAAUACCUUUAUAGGUAAGGCUAAUCAAAACAAGAUUGUUAUCUUCUACCUUUUCCAUCUAAUUCUUAAAACCUUCAUAACCACUGUGUAUGCUUGUAUCCCCAUGUCUGGUAGGGUCAAAUAAGGAUGUUAGACAACAAAUUGAAUUGGUUGGUUCAAAAGAUAAUUUUUACCACCACAGCUCCACUCCAUGUUCUUGUUUGAUUUACCAAUUGGCCAAAAGUAGAAAUCUAUUAUAAUUGUACUUAUCUAUGAGAAAGUACCCAAUUUAGUCGCUGGAAUUAGACAUUUCAUAACCUUAGUUCCUCAUUUUAUAUAAAUAUUGUCAAGUUAGUCCCUCCGUUAAUUUUAGUCUGCUAUGUAGUGGUUUUUCAUUUUUUUUUGUGGCGAUGUGUCACGUUAAGUGACAUUGUGACACAAAUUUUAGUACACGUAAGAAAAAGUCGGGAACCAAAUUGAUACAAGCUAGAAUUUCAAAUUUAAAAACUUGUUUAUUUCUGGUUUCUUCUCUAAAACCAUAAGAAAUUUUAAUAUCUCUCCAUAAUUUAGGGACCCUCGGAGUGUAAAGAAUGGGUAGUGGCUUGAAAAGUUUAUGCGAUUACUCUGCAUAUUAAUAAUAGGGGUAAUAGCCAUUUUGGUCUAUGAAUUUGUAACGAGUAGCCACAAUAGUCCCUCAAUAUAUCGAAAUUUCAAAAUAGUCCCAGAUUGUGCACCUCGUUAGUCAAAAUAGUCCUUGACAUUAAAAUACUUCGUUAAUAUUGUCAUAUUAGUCCUUCAAUACACUUACUUAUUGUCAUAUAAGUCCUUACCAGUACUUGCUUAUUGUCAUUUCAGUCCCUAUAUAAAAAGAAUUAUUGUGAGUAUUGGGGGAUGAUUUUAACGUCAGGGACUAUUUUGAUUAACAAAGUGCACAAUCAGGGACUAUUUUGAAAUUUUGAUACAUUGAGGGCCUAUUGCGACUACUCCUUACGCAUUCAGGGACCAAAAUGACUAUUACCCCUUAAUAAUAUGCCUGAGUCAUGUCUAUGUCUUUUAAAUACCGAAAGCAUAAGCAGAAAGUCUUUAAAUUUGAAACACGCGCAAGCUUUAAAAUCUGUUUAUACUUUUAGAUUUGUUGAUGAGUGGCCCUAAAAUUUGUUGGAGAAACACAGGCGUGGUUAAGCUCUAAAGUCAAGGGGAAACUUGUAAUAGAAAUGGAAAUAUUGUUUGGGUAGUUGCAACUUGUUCAAAGAUGAUUGCAUUUCAAUUUGGUUCCCAGAUGCGCAUAAUGGACCCGAAGAAGCAUCAUUUUGGUUUCAUACUUUUGUGUUUUCCAUAGAUUCCAUUUCUAGUGAUAGUUCCAUUCUGUUAGCAUAGACAUUGUUUGGAGAUCAUUCAACAUGGCUACUCCCUCCGUUCCUAUUUAUAAGAAAAAAUGAGUCAAAGAAAGUUGAUGAAUUUGGUUAAAAAUAUGGAUCAAAUACAUCAACCUUCUUCAACUGAUUUUUGCUUAUAAAUAGGAAUGGAGUAUAUCCAUACCAUGGUUGGUCUAUGGUAUUUUUGCACUUUUUAUUUUCUCUCCCAACUAAUGUGUUAGGCAUUGUUAGUAAUAAGCAGUUUAUUGACAUUCAGUUUAUUUUAUUAUUAUCAUUAUUAUUAUUUUUAUUAUUAUUAUUAAAUAGUGUGGGCAGUAACCGCUAGUAAUUGCUGUAGGUAGUCUGAAUUAUAAAUAUAGGUUGAAAGAGAAAAGGGAGGGCACUGGGUAUUUUGUAUAUAGUUUGGUUUGGGAGAGACUAGGUUCUCUAAUUCCUAGAGGUUUGUUAAUUUUAUGCAGUUAUUUUCCUGUUGCAGCAGUUUGUUAAUGUAACCAUUUCUGUUGGCAUAAUUAUCAUUGGUGUUUAUUCAUAUCUGAACCAUUAUCUAUCAUAAUGUUGAAAACUCCUAAAUACGGUGAGCUUAAUGGUCUGUUCUUCACAUCUUAAUGGUCUAUGACAUUUGUUCUACUUUAAUCCUCUUGCUAAAGGAGUUCUAAACACAAAUAAAUGGUAAAACCAUGGUAAAUGGUGAGACCCAUUCAACGAGUAUAAAAACCAUGUUUGAGUUUAUCUUUUGACUUGGUGGAGGACUAUAAGCUGUAUAAUAAUUUUAUUAGUCACAGGAAUAAGAUCAUCAUGGUAGUAAACUUUAUUCAGGUUUGUAAUAAAAUUGCUAGGGGUGGGUAAAAAAAACCAAAAAACUGAACUGAACCAAAAAAAAAAAACUAGAACCAUUACUAACAGUUCUGCACAGUUCAGUUCAGUCCAAGCUAUAGAUUAGUGAUUUAGUUUCUUUACAUACCGGUUUCAGAGAAGAAAAGAGGAAGAAAACAACCAGAAAUAGAUAUUGGAUAUUUUCAUUUAAAAGCCUAGCGUUUUCUCGAUUUCGUCCCUGACUUUUGCGUACCUGAACUAAGACUUGUGUGCCAGAAUAUCACUUAACGUGACACAUCACCACUUAACAGACUGAAACUAACAAAAGGACUAACUUGAUCAAUAUUUUGAUAUGUGAUGGACUAGUCUGCAAUAUUGAAAAAAUGAGGGACAAAGUUGACACAUUGCAAACUUUCGAACUUUUGACACAUGUACGAAAUUUCUUUCAGACACGAGCACCGUGAAAGGGUAUGUGUUAUUAAACUAGUAUAGAUAUAGAAUAGAAAAUCAUCUCAUUCAUGAAAUUGUGUUGUAAUUUACACUGGAAUUAACACAGAUGAUAUGAAGAAUGGAAAACAGAAACCUAAGGAAGUGAAAGAAAGAGAUAAGUACUUGAUGUGUGAGUUUAGCAAUAACUUUGUCGCCAGAUUUGAAAUCCUUGACUUGUGGUCCAACCUCUACCACCUCUCCAGCUACAUCAGUGCCUGAAUCAAAGUCCCAAGAGCAAAGGAAUCUUAAUUAUAUUGUAAGUAAAAGUGAGUAGGAAAUGAGUCUAAUUGUAUUAACAGUUCAAUUAAACACUUAUAGAAUACAUGUUUAUCAUUUAAAUACUUAUAUUAUAUAUAAGCUAUUUCUACAAUCAAAGAGAGAAAAAAAUAUAGGAGAAUUAUUUUCAUAUAAGCUAUAAGUUGUUUUCAUAAACUAUAGUUCAAAGUUGUUUUCAUAAACUCUACUUCGAAGCUAUUUUCAUAAACUAAAAACCAUACAUGUCAUAACCUAUUCCUUUAGGAUAUGUUUGGAUAGAGGGUUUAGAAGGGGAGGACUUACUUUUCUUUUUCAAAUUACAGACACUAUAAAAUAUUUUUUAAAUGAAUUAAGUCUGAUUGAAGUAUUAUAUGAUCAUUUAUCAUAUUGUAAUUUCAAUUUUUUAAAAAUAUCAAUAAUAUUUCAAAAUAUAGACUUAACCCUCCAAAAUCCCCUCCCAAACAGAACCUUAGUAUCACAUAAACACCUUGAGAAAUUACUAUGCUAAUAAAUAAACUCAUUUCCACAUUAAAAAAAAUAUAAAAAAAAUAGUCAAAUUAUGUUCAUACAAGCUAUAAUUUGUUUCAAUAAACUAUUAUCUAGAGCUGUUUUCAUAAACUGAACAUAACUUAGAGAUGGGGGCAUUAGCCGAUCAGUUCAGUUUUGAAAAAUGAAUCUGAAUCCGGUUCAUGUGGUUUUUCAUGAAAUAAGAUCCCGAAACAUCCAAUAAUAUUCGGUUUGGAACGGAUUUCAAGAUCUGUUUUGCUAUUUGGACAUCGAUUGGUUUCGAUAUCAACACCGAACCUAUCAUGAGUGUUUUUUUUUUUUAAGCUAAACUAACCGACCCCAAUUUGCACCGGAUAGAAUUGAACCUGAGACCUUGAGGAGGAGUGGAGCACACUCCAAGGUCUCAAGCCAUUAGCAGACAGACAUAUCAUGAGUUAUAUCUUUAGUAUGACACAAACACUUGGAAAGGCGAUUAUGCUGAUCAAACAAGUAAAUAAAUUUUUACAAGUCAAACUAUAGGCAGCAGAAGUAAAAAAAGAAGGUGGAAGAGUGAGUCAUACAAGGUAUGUGGGGAAACUUUCGAGGCAAAAAGAAUAGCACGAAGAGCACCACUCUGAAUCUUCCAAUCAAUUGGGUUGAUGCUAGUUGCUUCCAAUUUGAGUAAAACUUCGUUAGUCUUUGGAAUUGGUACAGGAACUUCAGCAUGCUGUUUUAAAACCAAUAAUUGAAUUGAAUUGAAUCAGAUUUAGUGAUGCAAAUGCAGAUUUGAAGAAAAAGAUAAUGAAUCUAUUGAAAAAGAUGAGAAAUGGGUCAUGAAUCAAUAUUACCUUCAAUCCAGACACUCCUCCGCCAUAGGAACUGUACUGAAGAGCUUGCAUAAGUUUCGCAGCCAUAUUAUCUAACUUUCUCCAGAAUCUUCGGAUUUUGUUUUGUUUUAUUGACUGCUUGUCUUAAACUACUCAAUUCGUCGUUAUUGUAAUAAUAAUAUAUUUUUAAAUUGCUUUAAUGAUUAAUGUAUUUAUACCUAAUAUCGAUUAGAUACAUAAGCUAUUUAAUCAAUAGUAUAUAUAUAAAGUAAAGUUUUUUUAUGUCACAUGUCACUUCUACGUUUAUUCAUACUAUUAUUAUUUUACUAUUUUUUAAAAUUAAUAUUUAAUUUGGUAUAAAUACCUCAACAAACUUUUGAUCUUAUCUACUAAAUAUUUUAUUUAACUUUUUUUAUUGAGUUCCUAAUAUUUUAUGUGACAUAAAUAUCUCAACAGAAAUAACAUAAAUUUCUACAAGUUAAUUUUAUUCUUUGUGUUAAUAUAAAAAGUGAUUUGUUUCUUACAAUAACAGAUAAACCGGAUUAUAAAGGGAAAAAAAAACUUAGAAUACAGAAUUAAAAUUGUACUCCCUCUGUUGUCCAUUAUAAGUAAAUUUUGACUUUUUAAAUUCAUUCAAUCAAUGAUAUAUCUGGUUCAUAAUAUAAAUCACAUACAUCAUUAGAGAAGGGGAGAGGAACCUAGAGAGAGAAAAUAAGGGUGGGAAAGGGACAACUAGGGACACAAAUGUGAGAAGAGGACCAGCCAAAGAACAACGACGUGGUUACUUCAACCGCCGAUGUCAGUCCACCAUGUCGUUCUUCUUCACCAACUUGCCGGAGGGGUUUAAAGUCUCAGAUCUGUACACUGUUUUUCUUCGUUUUGGUCACGUUGGGGUGGUGUAUGUACCUCUGAAGUGUGAUCGUUGAGGACGAAGGUUUGGAUUCGUGAAGUUUCAAGACGUUGACGACGAGGAGGGGUUGGGGCUCCGUCUGGGGGAGGUGGUUGGCUGGGGGAUUCAAGGUUGGAGGUGAAUAGGGCGAAAUUUGGGAGAGGAGAGAAGACCGCAAUUCCAGCUUCGGUAAGGAACAUAGUGACAGUAGGCAGUGGUAUGGUGGUGUCAAAGGAGAUGUCUUUUAAACAGGUGGUAGCGCAAGAGAGUCAGAUCGGAGCUACACUGUCGACGGUGCUACGACGGGUGGUGGUGCAACCGUCUGUAGACAGGUUGAAGGAGCUGGAGUCAUGCUUUGUGGCAGUUUUAUCUUUCCAUAGGAAGGACUAAAAUGGUUUUGCAUAGCUUGAUGUUGGGUGGGUUGAAGAAGAUAUGAGUGACUUCUAUGGGUGCAAAUAUGGUCCUCUUGAAAGCUGAAGAUCCUCAGGUGAUUGAAGAAGUUGAUCAUAGGAGUGAUCCUUGGUGGAGAGGGAUUUUCAAGUCUGUCAAACGUUGGGCUCCUAAUUUGAUGGCAAAACAUAGGGUGGUGUGGCUGAGAAUCUUUGGCUUGCCAUUACAUGUGUGGGAAGAGCAGACCUUCAAGCACUUGGGAGGUUUUUUUUGGUGAGUUUGUGGACUUUGAUGAUGACACAAUAGGAUUCAACAUAUUUGAUAUGGCUAGUAGGGUUUGGAAUAGGCCAGGCCGGCCUAUAGGGGCCUAUGGCCUGGCCUGUUUAAGCAUGGUCUGGCCUGGCCUGUUUAUUAAAAAGGUUAGGCUUAGGCUUUUUAAAAAGCCUAUUUAAGUAAAUAGGUCAGGCUUAGGCUAUCAAAAAAAGCCUAUGAAGCCUAAUAGGCCGGCCUGUUUAUGCAUGUUAGGCUUCAUAGUGGACUUUUUAAAUAGGUUUUAAAGCUUUAUAGUGAAAUAGGCUUUUAAGGCCUUAUAGUAGUGAUAGACAAGUCUUAGACUGAAAUAGGCUUUGAGGCCUAUUGAGCCUAUUUAAAAGUAGAUAAAGUGGAAUGUUUAGUGACUUUAAUAGUAAGUAGGCCUUUAAAUAGGCUUUCAAGCCAGGCCAAACUUUUAAAUAGGCCAGGCCAUAGGCCAGGCUCAGGCCUGCAAAAAUUUUCGUAGGCCAGGCUCAGGCCUAUCAAAGCCUGGCCUGGCCUGGCCUAUUCCCAACCCUAAUGGCUAGGGUUUGCGUGUGGUCAUCUUCUUUGGCCUUCAUUAAUGAAAAGUUAAGGUUGGAGGUGACGGGGGCUGUUUUUUAUGUGUGGGUGGUAGAGGAGGUGGUGUCGGCGGUGGGUACAAGGCGGACGGAGUAGUCUAGUUGGGAGGAGGUGUCGCCGAAGUCCUCUAAUGGAGGAGUAGGUGGUGGUGUGCUUCCUGAGUUCAUGGAAUGAGGAAGUAAGGUUAGCCCUAGAGGGAUAGCUUCCGUACGACUAUCAAAGGAAAUUGGUCAAUUUUUAAAUUGUCGAAAUUUAAUGCUGAGGGGACAAUUAGGUUUGUCAGAGGAGACCUUUCAUGAGGGCCAGACUUGUGGUGAUAUUUUGGAGAAACCUUUUUGCAUUGAGCCUACUCUGUAGGGUCACGUGGAAGCUGAUGGGCCGGCUAUUGUGGAACAAAAUAUGAGUGUGGUAAAGGAGAAGUCUCUUUCACAUAGUUCUCCUCCAAUUACCGAAUGCCACAUGGGGCCGUAGGAGUGGUAGGUGAGGGAAGACGGGACAAACGAGAUUGGUGGGGGCCAGGCGUGUGUGGAAGGAGUUUCUGAGGUGUUAUGUGGGGGAAAGAAGCGUGAGGUGCUAGGAGAGGUGGCCCCCUUAAUGUUGACUGAAAGGAAUAUUCCUUUUAUUGGGCCUAUCCAAUUUGUUGGGCCUCUUCAGGAUGCCUGUGGUAUGGAGCUAGGAGAGGCUUCUUGUAAAUUACAAGUUAACAAUAGGGAGGUGGGAAGAGUCAACAGUCAUGUCCGAUUUAUUUCGGAGGACUUCGGGAGGAGCAUGAAAGGAAUGUUUUGCAAACAACUAAAUAGAGGCACAAGAAGAAACUUGGAGGUGGAAAAUCUAUUUCGUCGGAAAUUGGUAAUUUUGCUUUAAAGGCGGAUUUGAUUGGUGGUAACAAACAUACAGGGAAGCCAAGACCAAAGGCUGCCUCGACUGUAACACCCCGUUCCCAAUAUCAAUUAUUUAAUAAAAUAAACACGCAUCAGAGUAAUAAUCCCAAACGGGCAUGUCACACUUCAUUUUCAAAUUUUCUUAAAUAGAAAAAUAAAACUAUUUAAUAAACCUUCAUAAAAAAUAUCAUUAAUCUGCAGCGGAAUAAUUGUAUUUAAGCAACAACAUUAACCGUUUAAAACUCCAUAAAAUAUCUCGGCAUAAAAGCCUCAACCAGAAAAAUCCAACAAAACAUAGGGCUACAAUAUCAUCAUCCAAAAUUUGAUACAUAGGAAUGAAGAAACAUUAAAAAUCCCAUCCCACAUAUCAGAGCCCUAGACACUUUGAGCCACCACCUACUACUCAGGAUCACCUGCAAGUUACCCAUAGGAAGGGCAACAUUUUCAAGCAGAAGGGGUGAGAUUCUCAGUCAAUAAAAAUAAUAAAUAAUAACAUCAAUUGAAUCUAACACCCUACAAUAUCCAUGGUUAUUCAAUAGGCAUAAGUAUUUCAUAAUCAACAACAAUCAUCCAGAUAUAGCAAUUCGAUCAACAAUAGCAACUCAUGAAAUGACAUGACACCCCACUAAGACUCCUCGAUAAAUGCAACUAUGCAUGUGGUACCAUAAACAGGGCCGUGACCCACACCGCUGUCGAAUGGUUAAAGCAUUCUCAACAGGACCUAAGUCCUCACCGCUCCACACCGCUUUGAACAACUAGUGUUCCACCGCUUUGAACGACGAGGCGUUCCAGAGCCGAAGCUCUCCCACUUUGAUGUUUAUGCAACUACCCAACCUGUGUAUAUCUUCAUACAACUCGACUAUUAUAUAUGUAUAUAUAUGACUCACCACUCCUUUUAAUGCAACAUGUUCAUUCACUUAGUUCACAUACUUCAACAUCUCCAAAAUUCAUAGAAAUCAACCAAAUCAAUUAUCAUUGUGUUUAAGUAGGAUCAGAUACCUAUACAAGAGUUAUACAAGCUAGAAGAAACACUUACAAAUACUCAAAAGGGUCCCCUAGUGCACAAAGCAAAGUUCAGAAAGAGGCUGACUAAGGCUCAGCUCGCUUAAGCGACGGGUAGUUCGCUUAAGCGACCAACUACAGGAAGUUUGGAUUCUAGCUCGCUUACGGGUCGCUCACGGUUCGCUUAAGCGAAUUCUUGGCAGAAUCAAACUUAAUUUUCGCUUACCAGCUCGCUCACUGUUCGCUUAAGCGAACAGGCAAAAUCGUAUUUCUGGGUGGCUUGCUUGAAUGCUCGCUUAAGCGACGGGUAGCUCGCUUAAGCGACCGCUCAUCUGGGCAGGGUAAAAACCUACAAUUUCAGACUUCUCCUCACUCCAAAAACCCAAUUUCAAUCCCCUGAUCACCCAAAAUGUUUUCUAACAGAUGUUUACAGGUCCUAUAUACAAUUAGACAUCUAAAGGAACACAAAACAGUCAUCAACCAACAACAAUUACAGAUCAUUCCAUCAUCAUACACAAAUUCAUCAAUUCAUCCAAUCACUCAUAAUUUUCAAUCAAUUUAUGAUCACAGCAACAACAAAGAUUAAGUUUUCAUUCUGAACAUUAUAUUAUAAAAGGAUUAACAUGAUCAUUACCCAUUCCUCUUCAGAAUCGUCAUCAAACCCUAACCCUCAAUUGAUUUUAAUUUUUCAAAACUAUGCCACUAGGUCAAUUUUCAGGAAUUAUAGAUUAUGAUUAUUGAGAGAUAGUCUCACCCUUACCUUAGUUUUGCAGAAAAUUAGACAGCAAGAAUCGGUUCUAGGCUCUCCUCUCUAGCUCUGGCUCUUCUUCUCCCUUUUCUCCCAAAAGCUUAAUGUUCUUACGUAAAAAACGUUUUGACUGUUUUUCUUUCUUUUUCUAACUUCCACCAUAACUUCCCUUAUUUCAUUAAACUCCCUUAAUUUUUAUUAAAUUCUAAUUAACUCCCUAAUUCCUAAAUUAAUAUUAAUUUCCACUUAUUUUAAUUAUUAUUAUAUUAAACCAUAUAAUAAAAUACACACACCACAUAAAUCACUAAAAAUCAUAUAAAAUCACACACGAGGCUCCAAAUAAUUCAAAAUAAAAUAAAUAAUAACUAGGGCGUUACAUCGACAACUUCCCCUGAAAGAGCAGUAGCGAGACAUAGUGGGAGGAAGAAAGAUGAUAGUGGCAACGGGUCCGGGAUGGCGGUUUCUCCAUCAUCGGGGUUUAGACUUAUUCUUGAUGAAGAAGUCACCCAAGUACCGGAAUCAUCUUUGAUGAAUGGGGAAAUAGAUCCUUUGAAGAAGUUGGAGGCUUCAUCAUUGUUUGAGAGGCAAAAUGUGAUGGGAUUUUCGUUCACUACACCGGGGAAGGAAAAUAAGGAUAGGGUGGAAAAUAUGCAGGUUGCAGAUGUGGAUAAGAAGGUCAUAAGGGAGAGAAGAUCGGGUAUCCAAUGAUAAUUACAACCUUUAAUAUUAAAGGCUUGGGGGUGUUUCAAAGAAAAUAACAUUAAAGAUUUAGUGCGAAGUAAUAAGGUUGAUUUUUUGGCUAUUCAAGAGACGAAGAUGGAGGAGAUUUCGACUUCUUUUUGUCAAAAUUUAUGGGGAAGGGAGGAUUGUAAUUGGGCGUUUCUUCCUUCCGAAGGUAAUAGUGGAGGUAUUCUUUCUAUUUAGAGUAAUAUUAAUAAUGUAACUAAUUGAGCUUUUGUUGGAGAGGGUUAUGUGGGGGUGUGCUUGGAUUCCAAACUUAAAGUUGAACAUUCCAUCAGACCGGAGAGUUUCUCCAAAUUCGCCAAAUUUUGGAGAUGUUGUCCUGGUGGCUGGGUUCCAUAAACGGAGCCAGUACUCUGUAUAAUUAUAGUUGAUCUGCUAUAAUUAUUGGUGACUAAUGUACCAUUUUUCAUUGACACCAAAGAGGACAAGAAAUAAAUAAUAAUUCAAAAUGAUAAAAUUAACGUAAGUUACUGUCUUUUGUUUUUGUUUUGAGGUAAUACGAGUUACUAUGUUCUAUGACUAAAUGGAUGUUCACAUUUGACACAAGAUAAACUAUAUGAGAUACAUUUAGGAUAAAGUUAUGAAGGUAAAAUAUGAAGUAUAACAAAGGGGAAAAAAACUAAGACAUGCUCAGGACAGAAACAAAAACAAAUAGAACUUGAGGAUGGUUAAAACUUGGAAGUCAUGAAUCAAGACUGUGAUUGUUGUUUCACACAUCCAAGCAAAAGUGAAACAACUCAAACUCCAAAUGUGGUACCAGCUAAUUCUGAUUUUUAUAAGUAAAAUCAAUAUAGAAAGUUGAAAGAAAAAUUAUAUAUAUUAAUGGAAAUAAUGAAAACUUACAUACCGGGGUACAUAUAUAUAUGAUCCAUAAAAGAUUAUAAACAAAUAAACUCACCAAAACACAUUUUAUAUUACAUGAAACACAGAGUAUAUCAAGCAUCAGACCAUGUAAUGUCCAAUCCACCCCAUUGAUCAUGAGGCACACCCAAGGCUUUCCACACAGCUUUAGAGGCAUCAACUAUGUUGUUGUUACAAGGAGGUUGAUAAUCAUGUUCUUUAUCGCAUCCUGCUCUCGAAUCACACUCAUCAACAACUUUGGCCACCACACUUCUUCCGUUCGCACUAAUCUUAAUUUUGUUGAGACAUCUACUCUUGUUGUUGAACCAUCCAGUAGAAAGUGCAACAACUGGGGUGUCAUCAGAAUGAUAUUGAUUAUCACACGCUGAAGGACCACCUCCAUCUCCACCUUCUUGAAAACUAUUGAGCGUGAGAAACGCUUUAGUGUGAGUAGAUACUGAUGGUGAACAUUUAUAAGUUGUGUACAUUUUUCCCUGUACACAACAAUCAAAGUCAUUCUCCUGGUUACAUUGUCUUGAAGGAGCUUUUUCUCCUUUAAUUCUACCACUUGGACGACACUGUUGAGCUUCAGAGUGCAACAAAUUUGUGAUAAUCAUAAAAACUAGAAAACAAAAGGAUGCUUUUGAGCAAAAACUCUUCAUAUUGUCUAUAUAGUUGUGUUUUUCUUCCAAGUAUUUGUGUGUUUGAUAUGCAUGGAUUGGAAUUCUCAAAAGGUAUAUAUAGAGAUUAAUUGCCACAAAUAUGUCCACCACUUCAAUGUAGGGUUGUAACAUUUUUGAGGUCAAAGAGUUAGUUUUAUAUUACUUUGCUUGCCAAUUACUUGAACGAAUUUUACAUUCUACUUUAUUUAAUAGUUUGAGGGGCAUGUAUUAAAUUGAUAUCACAUAGUAAACAUCCGAAGCAAUGCCCUGAAACAUAGGAAAGUAAAAUUCAUAUUAAAAUCACAUACAAUGUUUAUGUUAAACAUUAGUACUUAUUAACAGUUAAAUAUCUUGUAAGCAUAUUUGAAAACUGGCUUAAAAAAAUCAAUACAAGACAAAAGAAGAGCAAAGGUUUUCUCUUGUAGACAAAUUAUCUUUUUGCAUGUUAAUAUUUAAUAACUAAAAAGUAAUGGUUAGUGUUCAAAAUAAAUAUUGCAUUGUCUAAACAAGAUAGUGUAGAACUUAUUCUUUGACCUCAAAAGUGAUCUUAUAGGACUGGACUUGUCAUUUGAGCAAAACACAGCAUUAUGUUCUACAACCAUUUAUUGUACAUGUACAUAUUAAUCUACCAUUUAUUGCAUUAUGCUAUUCAAGUGUAUUUUAUAACUUUUUAAGAUAAUUUAUUUAGUAUUUGUCAAAAAAAAAAAAGAUAAUUUAUUUAGUAGUGCAAAUCUUGUUAUUUGACCUCAAAAGCAAUCCCUUGCUUGUUGUUUCAAAGCCGAUCAACAUACAUAAUACACAUUAAGUUUCCUAUAUAUAUCCUACUAAAAGCUCCAUCACAGCAUCAAACACUAAGAACAAGAACUAAGAGGAGAAAUAUAGAGUUGCAUAGACAAAAUGAAGAGCUUUUGCCCCAAAUUUUCUUUUCUCUUAUUGAUUACUCUUAUUUUAACAAGUUUCUUGUAUUCUGAGGCUCAAAAGUGUCGUCCAAACGGUAGAAUCAGGGGAAAGAAAGCUCCAUCGGGACAAUGCAACAAAGAGAAUGACUCUGAUUGUUGUGUACAAGGAAAGAUGUACACAACUUAUGAAUGUUCACCAUCAGUGUCUACUCAUACUAAGGCAUACCUCACACUUAACAGUUUCCAGAAAGGUGGAGAUGGAGGCGGACCUUCAGCGUGUGAUAAUCAAUAUCAUUCUGAUGACACUCCAGUUGUUGCACUUUCCACCGGAUGGUUCAACGACAAGAGCAGAUGUCUCAACAAGAUUACCAUAAGUGCCAAUGGAAGAAGUGUGGUGGCCACUGUGGUUGAUGAGUGUGACUCUACGAUGGGAUGUGAUGAAGAACAUGAUUACCAACCUCCUUGUCCAAACAACAUUGUUGAUGCUUCCAAGGCUGUGUGGAAAGCCUUGGGUGUGCCUCAAGAUCAAUGGGGUGGCCUUGACAUUACAUGGUCAGAUGCUUGAUUGUAGAAGAUGUAAUGUGUCUUUUUGUGCUGUAAUAUUUAUGUGAUAGUGUGUACAUUUAUUUCUCAUCUUAUGUGGAUUAUGUAAAUAUUGCUACCAGUGAUCAUUCUGUUGUAAAUUAAGAAAGUUAAAUACAUUUUCCGUGGUUUUAAAAUGUGAGUUGCGCCACCUUAUGAUAUGACUGCAAUACUUCAGUUCAAUUGUAGUGGUGUUUGCAAAUUCUACAGAAAUUUAGUAUUUUGAAAGGCACGUCAAUAGCUUAGGUUAUGUGAUUUGAGGACUUGGUUCGUUCUGAGAUUGGUCCGGACGACUUGGCUUCAGGUUGUGCAAUAGUACGUAGAAAAAGAGUGAGAGUAAGUGUGGUGAUCAUACACAGACCCCCUAUUUGUACCGUGGUUCCAAAGUGAUAUGCCCCUGUAACCCUGCUGGCUUCAGACUGUGCUAUCUUCAUGUUGAAUUUAUGUUCAAUAGGCUCGGUUUGGUAGGGAAAAUGAAUCUGAGAUAAACAAAUAUGUUCCAUAUAAGACUAGGAAGUAGGAAGGGUGGAGCACAUUAGUGAAUUUCUAUUUUGGAGGUGAGCUAGUUUUUUGAGAUGACGUUGGAUGUUGAUAUUCGUGUUCUGUCAUCCUUAAUGCCGAGUUAAGCACCUCAGAUGGACUCGUUGUUGGACCUCGCUGUUGGGCUAGUUUGGAGCGUUUGAAUCGAGUGAUAAUCAUUAGGAUAAUUAGAUUGGGCCUUUUACACCUAAAUCAUUACAAUGAUUAACCACAAUUUUCAACACGAUCUAAAUUAACUAUAUAUUCAAUUGAAUUAACCACAUUUUGCACGUGAUUAACCUAGUGUCGCACCUGUACGAAAAAGUGGAUGUCGCAAGUGUACCAAAAUAUAAGUCUUCGGUUUUCUUUGAAAAGAUUAUUACGUACAUGUUUACAAACUAAUUAUGUUCCUUGAAUUAAUCACUACUUGAUGAAAACGGGGAUAGAAAAUUUGGUUGUUACAAUAGACAAAAAACCAGUCGUUCUCCAAUAAGGAGCAUAUAACAUAAAACAUCUUAGGAAGCAAUGAGACAUAAGAGUUUCAAAAACCUACAAAAUACCAUUAAACUGAAUAUCUUUAUGUGUAUUAGAUUUAGAUUAGAUGUUUACCUCUUAAUACAUAAUAAAUAACAAGUUCUCGUUAGUGUCCAAAAUAGAUAUUGUAUUCGUUAAACAAGGUAGUGUAGAACUUGUUCUUUGACCUCAAAAGUGAACCUAUAUAUGUGUUUCUUUGACCAAAAAUCUAACUUCUAUAUGCUGUGUUUGUUUUUCUUUUGCUUUUUAUACAAAACCAAGCAAAUUACUGUGAGAGUUAACUUAAAAUCAGAAAUCUGGAGUAUCGUGCCACGAUGGAGAAGCAUCGCGCCACGAUGGUUGAAGCAAGAUUCCUGGGAAGACAUUGGAAAUUUCGUGCCACGAUGAAGCCUCAUCGCGCCACGAUGGUCGCGCUGAAGAUAAAAAUAAAACGUAUUUUCAGUUAGAUUUGUUUCAGUUUUUUAAGGGUUUACUUUCCACUAUAAAUACAGCCUUGUAUCAGAUGAUAAAAGUGUGUAGAAAAACAAGGUUUAGACCAACAAAUAAACUAGGGUUUAUAGAGAAUCUCUCUUGGCAACAACUCUAGGGUUGAGAUUGUUUUGAUUCACCUUGAACAAAACACUAUUAGGAUUGAGUCUCUUGGUCACGGGAAGAGGCUGGGACUUGGGUAGAAUUAGGUUUGAAGACUGAUUCUUGAAACUCAUUAUCUCUUUGUAAAGAAACUCAUUCAUUAUAGUGGAUCGGAGAGCUGCUCUCUCCCCCAGACUAGGUCAUCAUUAGACCGAACUGGGUAAACAAAUAUCUUGUGUUUCUCUCUCUCUCUCUCUCUCUCUCUCUCUCUCUCUUUUAUCUCUUGCUGUUUUUGUUUGGAUUAUUUGCUACCCGCUUGAUUUGAUUGCUUGGUAUUAAUUUGCUCCACCCAUCAAGUUUUUUAUUGGUGUGGUUUUCUCAACGAAUUCACAACAAUUACUUUACUAGAAGAGGAGUUCUCUAUAUAUAGACUAACUAAAAUCUAUCCCAAAACAUCAAACACUAAGAAGAACAACAAAGAGAAAAAUAGAGUUUCAUAGACAAAAUGAAGAGAUCUAGAUUUUUCCCCAAAGCUUCUUUUAUUUUGUUGGUUAUUACUCUUAUUUUAACAAGUUUUGUGUACUCAAGAACUGUCGUCCAAGCGGUAGAAUUAGAGGAAAGAAAGCUCCUCCAGGACAAUGCAAUCAAGAGAACGAUUCUGAUUGUUGUGUACAAGGAAAAAUGUACACAACAUAUGUAUGUUCUCCAUCAGUGUCUACUCACACAAAAGCAUAUCUCACUCUUAAUAGUUUUGAAAAGGGUGGAGAUGGAGGUGGUCCUUCAGAAUGUGACAAGCAGUAUCAUUCCGAUGACACUCCCGUUGUUGCACUCUCAACCGGAUGGUUCAACCACAAGAGCAGGUGCCUCAACAACAUUACCAUAAGUGCGAAUGGAAAAAGUGUGGUGGCCAUGGUUGUUGAUGAGUGUGACUCCAGAAAGGGAUGUGAUGAACAACAUGAUUACCAACCUCCUUGUCCAAAUAACAUUGUUGAUGCUUCCAAGGCUGUGUGGAAAGCUUUAAAUGUGCCUAAAGAGCAAUGGGGUGGCCUUGACAUUACAUGGUCAGAUGCUUGAUAUGAGUUGAAAUCCUUGUUCGUGUUUCUAUGGUUUAACUUAGUCAUGUUACUUAUUUUGUACUUUUAUUUCUCAUCAUGUGUAUAUGUAUCAUAUACUUGUGACCAUUCUGUUAUUAGAAAAUACAGUACAUACUUUUAUUGAUAUAGCUCAAAUCCAAAAUAGAAUAUUUGCCUUUAUAUCAAUACUCAAAUCUUAGUUUCGUUGAUAUAUCAAACCAGAGGUUAGUCAGAGCCUUGCCUUCUUCACUAAGAAAUGUUUCAGAAAGGGGACUUUCCCAUGGUGGGAAAAACACCAUUUUCCCAGGCUAAACGCCACCCUUUUAAGAAGAUCAACAUAUAACUAGAAUCCUAACUCACUAAACUUCAACUAACUCUAUAUCAAAUAAAUAAUUUAUUAAUUUCGAAAUCACCCCUAACAAUAGAACCAUUAUAUGUACAAACCAGAAAGAAAGAAUCAAGAAGAAUGCAAAUUUAAAAGCAUUCCAUCAUAUGAUGUAUCCCAAAUCAUUCAUUUUAAUAUAAACACACCAGAGUUGUGUAGAACUAUGAAACACUGACUAUGACAAGACAUUGAAACAUCGACGUUAGUAAAAGUUUAAAAAAUGAAUUAAUUAAAUAUAAUCAAAUGCAUUAGUGUCGGGUUACUUUGACUCCAAGAAAACAAUGCCUAUUGCUCCACUAUGAUUUUUCCAGUAGCAUGGCCAUCGAUGCUCUUAGCCCAAGCAUCUUCAGCUUUGCUCAAAGGAAACUUGGAGUCAAUAAUUGUCUUGAGUUUUCCAUCCUUCACUAACUGACCGAGAUGUUCUAAGCCCUCGCGAGUUGGAGUUAAAAGAAACGGCACCCACUGCUUCUUCGAAAAGGUAAGUUUCUUCACCGCAAAAGUCCACAUUGAUCUCGGGCCAGGUGUUAUAUCCGCUACAACCCCAUUUUCCGACAAAUUAGGCUCAAAAACUGACCAUGGUAUUCCAGCAGUACAAUGUAUCACUACAUCAUAUUUCCUACCAGAAGGACUUUUUAGCGAUGCUCCUUCUGGAGUCUUGUAGUCGAGAACCUCAUCGGCACCUAAGCUCUUGAUAAGGUCAAUGUUGCGAGCACCACAAGUAGCUGUCACAUGGUUGUUCCCUAGUUUUGCAAGUUGAAC